UACGUAGGGUGCAAGCGUUGUCCGGAAUUAUUGGGCGUAAAGAGCUCGUAGGCGGUCGGUCGCGUCUGCUGUGAAAACUCGGGGCUUAACCCCGGGCCUGCAGUGGGUACGGGCAGACUAGAGUGCGGUAGGGGAGACUGGAAUUCCUGGUGUAGCGGUGAAAUGCGCAGAUAUCAGGAGGACCACCGGUGGCGAAGGCGGGUCUCUGGGCCGUAACUGACGCUGAGGAGCGAAAGCGUGGGGAGCGAACAGG
This 253-nucleotide ribosomal RNA is filed under the name uncultured bacterium. RNAcentral describes it as "partial 16S ribosomal RNA". It matches the Rfam family "Bacterial small subunit ribosomal RNA", at positions 524 to 776 of the family's 1533-position model. The record is from RNAcentral.